Molecule: non-coding RNA, 180 nt
Filed under: Desulfatitalea sp.
Lineage: Bacteria; Pseudomonadati; Thermodesulfobacteriota; Desulfobacteria; Desulfobacterales; Desulfosarcinaceae
Description: 6S RNA
Rfam family: 6S / SsrS RNA
About the family: E. coli 6S RNA was the first non coding RNA to be sequenced, but its function was unknown until recently.
Source: RNAcentral
UCACCCCUGCUGUGUGCGUGAUUGGAAGAUGCGCUUUGACCCAACGCUUAUUCAAAGGGAGCCCGGACCGGCUUCGGUGUGCAAGUUCUGCAUGUACAGAAAAGCCUAAAGAAGUCGCACGGCGCCCACUUGCCUUUUAGGUUCAAAGGCCUGCCAACACGGCAUCUUGGUGGGGGUGAU